CCAGUGAGAGUCCUGAUGGAAAAGCUUGGGCUUUCUGAGUGAAGACUUCGACGGAAGGAAAGAUGUAACUACAGUUGAGCUUUCACCCAGAUGGGAAUUUUAGAGGACAGAGACUAUCAUGCUGGGAACCAAAUCAGAAAAGAAAUGAUUGCAUCCUAGGAUAAGCUCCAAGACCAGGAGGAAAUCAAAGCCGGGCCUGAGGCCUGGGGGCCUCUGUCAAUCGGCAGAAGCCUCUGAAGCUGUCAGCCUCCAACCGCAGAGCCUGACAUGUGUGCCCAUCUUCCCACUGCUGCUCACAAGUUACUGUGCCUUAGUCUCCAUCCCUCAGACCUUCAGCCUUUGCUGUGAGCAUCCUAGAAACAGCAGCCUUCCUCAGUCUGAUGAACCUGGGAGUGGGACCCCCAGGGGCCACAUCAAGGUGCAGAGCUGCAUUGCUGAAUGUCAGCUGGGAGAGGCUUUGGUCCAGAAUCCGAGGGAAGAUGGUGACACUACUUAUCCAGCCUGGAUCACUUCACCCUCAUCAGUUACAGAUGAACCUCAGACUGGUACCCUAGGAAUCGGCACCCACCGCUCCCUGCAGAAACCAGUGGCCAGCAUCGUGAACGCAGUCAAGGGCACCACCCACUGAGGACAUUCAGUCGCCCUUCCAUGUUCUGCUGUGUGGUGAAGAAACCCGAGACGCUCACCAGAAGCCAAGCAGAACCACUGCCAUGCUACUGGCUGGCCAGUCAUCACAUCCAGCGACCAAAAUGAGCCUCCAAUCAGCAUGGAAAUUAUUCGGUCUCAGGGACUCUGUUACAGAAACAGAAAACAGACCAGUAUAAUUGUUUAAAACAAGAGGCAAUUACACUGCGUCUUGUUUGAUUUUGUUUUAUUCUAGGUGUGAAUCACUUGCAUAAAUAGGUGUGUCCUUAAAUGGCCAGAUCAUGAAGCCAGAAAACCUAAUUUGAACCCAAGGAUGGAUGUUCAUAAGACAUUUCUCUAUUUUUGAAAGCGUCCCAAGUUAGUCUUAUGAGUAAUCAAAUGAAACCUAUCUUCCAAU
Long non-coding RNA from Grammomys surdaster, 1042 nucleotides. RefSeq lists it as uncharacterized. The record is from RefSeq and is a predicted model, not a curated record. The transcript is spliced from 4 exons. Lineage: Eukaryota; Metazoa; Chordata; Mammalia; Rodentia; Muridae.